CCUACGGGAGGCAGCAGUGGGGAAUUUUGGACAAUGGGCGAAAGCCUGAUCCAGCAAUGCCGCGUGAGUGAAGAAGGCCUUCGGGUUGUAAAGCUCUUUUGUCAGGGAAGAAACGGUGAGAGCUAAUAUCUCUUGCUAAUGACGGUACCUGAAGAAUAAGCACCGGCUAACUACGUGCCAGCAGCCGCGGUAAUACGUAGGGUGCAAGCGUUAAUCGGAAUUACUGGGCGUAAAGCGUGCGCAGGCGGUUUUGUAAGUCUGUCGUGAAAUCCCCGGGCUCAACCUGGGAAUUGCGAUGGAGACUGCAAGGCUAGAAUCUGGCAGAGGGGGGUAGAAUUCCACGUGUAGCAGUGAAAUGCGUAGAGAUGUGGAGGAACACCGAUGGCGAAGGCAGCCCCCUGGGUCAAGAUUGACGCUCAUGCACGAAAGCGUGGGGAGCAAACAGGAUUAGAUACCCUGGUAGUCCACGCCCUAAACGAUGUCUACUAGUUGUCGGUUUUAAUUACUUAGGUAACGCAGCUACGCGUGAGUAGACCGCCGUCGGGAGGUACGGUCGGUCGAGAGUUAAACGUAACUUAAGUUAGUAAGUUAGACGGCGNGAGACGNGCGACGGACGACGACGAGGGAGGAGG
Molecule: ribosomal RNA, 632 nt
Filed under: uncultured bacterium
Lineage: Bacteria
Description: bacterial SSU rRNA
Rfam family: Bacterial small subunit ribosomal RNA (bases 1-539)
Source: RNAcentral